RNAcentral lists this small nuclear RNA (107 nucleotides) under Aotus nancymaae (Ma's night monkey). The record is from RNAcentral. Lineage: Eukaryota; Metazoa; Chordata; Mammalia; Primates; Aotidae.
GUGCUCACUUAGGCAGCACAUAUACUAAAAUUGGAAUGAUACAGAGAAGAUUAGCAUGGCCACUGCACAAGGAUGACACACAAAUUUGUUAAGUGUUCCAUAAAAAA